UAGGGAAUCUUCGGCAAUGGACGAAAGUCUGACCGAGCAACGCCGCGUGAGUGAAGAAGGUUUUCGGAUCGUAAAACUCUGUUGUUAGAGAAGAACAAGGACGUUAGUAACUGAACGUCCCCUGACGGUAUCUAACCAGAAAGCCACGGCUAACUACGUGCCAGCAGCCGCGGUAAUACGUAGGUGGCAAGCGUUGUCCGGAUUUAUUGGGCGUAAAGCGAGCGCAGGCGGUUUCUUAAGUCUGAUGUGAAAGCCCCCGGCUCAACCGGGGGGGGUCAUUGGAAACUGGGAGACUUGAGUGCAGAAGAGGGGAGUGGAAUUCCAUGUGUAGCGGUGAAAUGCGUAGAUAUAUGGAGGAACACCAGUGGCGAAGGCGGCUCUCUGGUCUGUAACUGGCGCUGAGGCUCGAAAGCGUGGGGAGCAAACAGG
RNAcentral lists this ribosomal RNA (429 nucleotides) under Chloroflexota bacterium. RNAcentral's name for it is "Chloroflexi bacterium partial 16S ribosomal RNA". It matches the Rfam family "Bacterial small subunit ribosomal RNA", at positions 355 to 776 of the family's 1533-position model. Lineage: Bacteria; Bacillati; Chloroflexota. The record is from RNAcentral.